GUACCCUUAGCUCAGUUGUUUAAAGCUGACGGCUCAUAACCGUCCGGUCAUAGGUUCGAGUCCUACAGGGUACA
Molecule: transfer RNA, 74 nt
Filed under: Enterococcus hirae
Lineage: Bacteria; Bacillati; Bacillota; Bacilli; Lactobacillales; Enterococcaceae
Also listed under: 2 other names
Description: tRNA-Ile
Rfam family: tRNA
About the family: Transfer RNA (tRNA) molecules are approximately 80 nucleotides in length. Their secondary structure includes four short double-helical elements and three loops (D, anti-codon, and T loops). Further hydrogen bonds mediate the characteristic L-shaped molecular structure. tRNAs have two regions of fundamental functional importance: the anti-codon, which is responsible for specific mRNA codon recognition, and the 3' end, to which the tRNAs corresponding amino acid is attached (by aminoacyl-tRNA synthetases). tRNAs cope with the degeneracy of the genetic code in two manners: having more than one tRNA (with a specific anti-codon) for a particular amino acid; and 'wobble' base-pairing, i.e. permitting non-standard base-pairing at the 3rd anti-codon position.
Source: RNAcentral